This 116-nucleotide ribosomal RNA is filed under the name uncultured eukaryote. Its description in RNAcentral is "partial small subunit ribosomal RNA". It matches the Rfam family "Bacterial small subunit ribosomal RNA", at positions 1412 to 1525 of the family's 1533-position model. The record is from RNAcentral.
UGGCUUUACCUGAAGACGGUGCGCUAACCAGCAAUGGAGGCAGCCGGCCACGGUAGGGUCAGCGACUGGGGUGAAGUCGUAACAAGGUAGCCGUAGGUGAACCUGCAGAAGGAUCA